GUUACCAAUUUACUACCACAC
RNAcentral lists this microRNA (21 nucleotides) under Dictyostelium discoideum. RNAcentral describes it as "ddi-miR-7105". Lineage: Eukaryota; Evosea; Eumycetozoa; Dictyosteliales; Dictyosteliaceae. The record is from miRBase by way of RNAcentral.